CGUAGGGUGCGAGCGUUGUCCGGAAUUAUUGGGCGUAAAGAGCUCGUAGGCGGUUUGUCGCGUCGGCCGUGAAAACUUGGGGCUUAACUCCAAGCUUGCGGUCGAUACGGGCAGACUUGAGUUCGGCAGGGGAGACUGGAAUUCCUGGUGUAGCGGUGAAAUGCGCAGAUAUCAGGAGGAACACCGGUGGCGAAGGCGGGUCUCUGGGCCGAUACUGACGCUGAGGAGCGAAAGCGUGGGGAGCGAACAGGAUUAGAUACCCUGGUAGUCCACGCCGUAAACGGUGGGUGCUAGGUGUGGGGGGCUUCCACGCCCUCUGUGCCGCAGCUAACGCAUUAAGCACCCCGCCUGGGGAGUACGGCCGCAAGGCUA
RNAcentral lists this ribosomal RNA (372 nucleotides) under uncultured organism. RNAcentral describes it as "bacterial SSU rRNA". It matches the Rfam family "Bacterial small subunit ribosomal RNA", at positions 526 to 896 of the family's 1533-position model. The record is from RNAcentral.